CCUAUUCAAUGGGGAAGUACGAGUAUUCCAGCUUUCUAAACGGCUAAACGGAACAUUCACGCUAUUUUAGGUCUUCAAAAAAUCUCUUGAAUGGGGUUAUGUACGGUAUAUGGUCUAUAUAUAUACCUGAACAUAUCGGGAAUCGAUUUUCGGGGGUAUGUGUGAAGCAGUUAACAGCUAUUUGUGGACUCGGCCAGCGAGUUGAAGAGCUGUUAACGUUGGCAAAAAUAUUCGAUUACCAGCAUCGAAAAGGGUUUGAGUUGCUCCCAAAGGAGUUUGGUUUUUUGGGCUGAAUGAAACGCUCUUUUAUAAAUAAACUUAAUUUGAUUAGUAGGGUUCACUCGGUCACACACACACACAACAACACACACAUACACAUACAGAAAGAUGGAGAACAAGAGACCAGGAGAGAGCGACAGAAAGAGAGAGAGAGAGAGAGAGAGAGAGACAAAGGACAAUUCUCAGCCAAAACAGAGCAGAGAGAAAUUCCGAAAAUUGAUUUUACUUCAACAGUUUUAUUUGCCAACAUAAUUUAAUAAUAAACUUUGGCACUUUUAGCCAUGGCCCAGACCCCAGAACAAUGUCGGGCGGGAUUGCGGAUUGAGUGGGGAUUGAGGAGGGAUUGGAGUGGAAUCGAGUGAUGUGGAGUGGAGUGGUGUGGAGUGGAGGGGCCCUGCCAGCAGGGCUCAUGGCAUGAUGGGUUGGCAGGGACGUUCACUGAAGCUUGAAAUUUAUGUUCACGCCUGCAUUGUUGCCCCGCAGCUCUGGCAGGACACUUUCCAUCAGCAUCCCCCAACCGCCUGCAGGAGGCAGAGCCAGCUGUCAGGAGCACACGGAGCAAAGGGCAACCACUGGACAGAGGUUUUAGUUUCGGCUGCAGAUACCCGUGCGAGCUCGACUUUAAUUGGAAAAUCAUGGUGCAGCACCAGCAACAGGAGAAAAACAAUAUUUUAACAAAUAAAUUAUGUUUGAAGUUUGAGUUUGGUUUGGUUUGGGGUCCCUCUUUAUUAUCGUUCCAUUCUGGUUUCCGCCCCAAAAAUAUAUACCAAUUAAUUAAAUG
RNAcentral lists this long non-coding RNA (1060 nucleotides) under Drosophila guanche. Lineage: Eukaryota; Metazoa; Arthropoda; Insecta; Diptera; Drosophilidae. The record is from RNAcentral.